UCUGUUGUCUCUUUCAAUUUGUAUGUCACUAUUUCUCAGCAUUCAAUUUGCCUUCACUAGGGGGAUUCGUUCUUCCAAUAAUCAACCCUUGUCCACAAGUAUACCAUGUUCCAAUGGACUACAUAAGCAUAAACCUAAUGCCUGUAAUGGACCGGUGACGUUUUCUACUGCAGUUGCUAGCUCUAGUCAGGUUUCUUCGUUGCAUAGUGACUCUGGAAAGAAGCUGGUUCCUAGUGAAGAAAGCAACACAAGUCUAGACAAAAGCAAACUGGAAGCCAUAGAACAUGUGAAAAAGGAUUCUAGCACAGAUAGCAGAACUAUUUUGAGUAGUUCCUCCUCGUCUGUACUUUCUGUUACUUCAACAAUAAACAGGCAACACGGUCAACCUACAUCCAAGGACAAAGAUGGAGAUGCCAGCAUGCUACCCUGUACCAACAACUCAGUUAAUCAAUACCUAAAGUCUUGUGGUCCUGAUUCAGACACAGAUUCCAAUGAUUCUGCAGAUGGAAAAAUUGAAAAUUUAUGCUCUGAAAUUUUUUCUAUGAGCAUUGAUAGACAUCAACAGUUGCAGAAUGGCUAUGCUGAGCACAUUGGAGAACCAUUGAUAUCGCAGACCUCUGGAAUAUCUGCAUUACCAGUUGAUGAGGAUUAUGCCUCAAAUCGUCUCUCUCCGUUGAAAUUGGAAACACACAUGCAAGUCUCGCAAGUUGACUCGCUUCAGAUGGAAGAUAAUCUAUUAUCUUUUGAUAAACAAAGACUCAAGGAUCCAGAGUUUGCUUCUAGCAGAAACAGUAUACCAGAUUCUUCUCACUCUACUCAUCUUUCAAGACAUUCUAAUAUUCAUUCUCCAACACAAAAUAAUUCUGACGCUUCAGUCAGGGUCAAUGUUGAUAGGCAAAUUGUACAUACAAAAGACAAUUUGAUAGUAUCAGCUUCUAGUAAUUCUGUUAUGUCAAAUAAACAUCCUGACAAUGAAUUCAGUAGUUCUUCUGAUCCAGUGAAUGAUGUUGAACAUAUUUAUUUGUUUCCAAUUAAUAAGGAUAAAAAUUCAGUUCUGGGAAGAUUCAAAGGUGAAGCAGCCUGUCACAGUCAUCCUGCUGCUGUUGAUACGGGGGAAAGCAGCAUAAUAUCAGAUAUUUUGUCGAUGGACUCUUAUUCAUGGGAUGACUCGAUACGUUCACCUCAGAACCUGGCAAAAUUGUUUGGUGAAACUGAUGAACGACAAGGGCCUUUCGGAGUACCUAGUUCGCGGAAAAUCCAGAAUAGCAAUCAAUCGAGGUUUUCUUUUGCUAGAGAGGAGGAACGUAUGAACCGAGCAUCUGACUUUGGACUAGCUAUCAAUUAUGUUGAACAAUCUCUUAAGGACCGCCCAUUUGGCAAUGAUUUCACAAACAGCAACAGCUUUCAUCUUGAAAAGUUUGGUUCUCACAAUAGGCUAUCUUUAUUUAAUGGUGUGGAGUCAGAUAAUUUUGCCAGCAGUCAUUCUUACAUCUCUUCUAACAAGGUUCCUGGUGAGUUGCGAUUUAUACGAAUUUCAAUGAAGUUUAUUCAUAGUUUGUUGUUGACUUGGCGGGGUUGUAAGUUUCUUUUUAUUUCUCGGAUAUAUUAGUAACCUUGUCAUGGAAAUUGACACUUGCGAAGUAUACAUGUUCAAUUUAGUUCUUUCUUGAUCAAAAUAUUCUUGUGCCUCAUGAGAAACCUAGGGAUAUUUUCAAUUUGUGUUUUCCAUCUGAUGGAAUUUAUUCUUAUGUAGCUUUCUAUUUUUCUCUCUCAAAACAUUUUUUCUGGGUGCCUUUGAACAGUUUCAAGAUCUCAAGUUUCUGCCCCCCCGGGUUUCUCAGUGCCUAGUAGGGUACCACCUCCCGGUUUUAUUUCUCACGAGAAGACAGGGCGGAUAUUCGACCCACACUCUGGUCCGUUAAUUUAUGCUAGGCACUUAAUAUUUUCGGACUUUUACUUCAUGUUAAAAAUCUUGUGUUUGGUUUUGAAUUAUCAUUUUAUUCUGUCUUGUGCAGGAAAUUAUAUGCCCGAUGCUUCGCUUUUGCCAAGAAAUCAGUAUCAGGCAUCCCCAAGUGGUGAUUCUAUUAGUAAUGCCGAAAUUGAGUUUAUGGAUCCUGCAAUUUUGGCAGUUGGCAAAGGGAUACUUCCUGGUAGCCUAAACAGCUCAGGCUUGGGUGCAAGAUUAAGUUAUUCUCCGCAGUAUAGUACGCUUGAAGAAUUAAGAUUCCAGUCCUUGUUACAAAGAUCAGUUCCUACUCAUCAAAACCAGAGAUUUACAGACCCGGGUGACAGUUAUUCUCCCCUUGGCGAUGCUUAUGGAGUUCCUUCUAGGGUGCUAGAGCAAACCCUAACCAACAACCUGUCCCCAUUUUCCCAGUUCACUCUUCCUCAGCCUAGAAAUGCUGUAACAUCCAAUGGCCAAUGGGAUGGGUGGAAUACGGUGCAGGGUGAGAAUGCUUUAGGUAUGGCAGAACUACUCAGAAAUGAGAGAUUGGGACUUCCUAAGUACUACAAUGGUUAUGAAGAUUCAAAUACCCGCUUGCCAAAUUCUGGAAACCUAUAUAAUCGGGCUAAUGGGAUUUAAAUUUGGUUGGAGACUUAUAUGGCACUGUUGGUACUGAUAGUGUCAAUGGUAAAAUAGGAAAAAUCUUGUGCGAAUUAGAGAAUGCCUGCUUUAAGGACUUCAAUGUUUGGCAAUCGGAUGACCUGAUCACUUGCAUUGACUAAACGGACCUAGGCAUGGAAUGCCCGAAAUAUUUGUGUUCGAGGACAUUAGAGUGAUUCACGAGUAGUCUGAUGGCACUGCUUUUAAGUUGGUGGAGGAUCAAGCCCUUUCAACAGGGAGUCCCAAACCAACAGGUAAAAUAUUGGCUCUCUUUAAUAUGGUUUAUGUUGUUGAUUCGUGAACGAGGCUGUUGUGCAUGUAUAUCACGGGAAAUAAUAAAUGGAGUAGAGUAUUAAAAAAGUAGAUUAGAGGCUUAAUGGUCACUCAUGUAUGUCAUUAGAAAGAUGAAUGUUACUAAUCUAGUUCAGAAAAGAAAGAACAGUGAGCUUGUUGUACCAUCAGACACUUCUUUCCGUAAAACAAACUUCUGUAUUAGACUCAGAUUUCUCACUAACUGUUUUUCCCCCCUUCGUCCUCUUCGUAUCUUUCGGCUCUUGGUAAGAUGAAAGAAUCGUUUUGAAGAAGAUACAAACUUUGCGAUCCUAAUCCUUUUUAUACUUGAAAAACACAAAGUAACUUCACCUUUCCCUCGUCCUAUUGUACAUCUCAAUUUCCAUGGAACUUACGGAAUAAUGGAGUUUUGAGAUGUUAAUCUGGACAUGAAUAGACUGCUACUGCUACUACUAUUAUUAUUUGCACACUGCUCAUUUUGUUCAUAGCCUUUCACCCUCAUAUUUUCAGGUAAAGGGUGCUUGAGAUUCAGGCCUAAUGUGAUGGUCAUGCAAGCAAUGUUGUGCACGAUGAAAUCAGCUUGUGAUCUUUUCUUUCGUAAUGCUAAAGCUUGUUAGUUUGUUUGAAGUUGUUCUACAGAGGUGAUCGAAAAUACUUUCUUUCACAGUGGUGAAAAUUGAUUUGUGUGUAGGCAAAAAUUCGAAAAUGGGAAGUUUAUAGUUUUGUUUUUGCUUAUUUACUUGAGAGUAUGAUCGAGAUCGUUUUCACAAAAUUCAAUGAAUUCACAUGCUGGUGAAAAAUCUGUAGCUGAAUCAACGUGGAAAUAGUGAAAUGGACGAGUACCAAAAAAUGGUUGGAGGAAAAUAUGUAAUUAUAAAAUGCCAUAAUAAAGCGUGUUUUUGAGAAUGCAG
This 3807-nucleotide long non-coding RNA is filed under the name Olea europaea subsp. europaea. The record is from RNAcentral. Lineage: Eukaryota; Viridiplantae; Streptophyta; Magnoliopsida; Lamiales; Oleaceae.